RNAcentral lists this ribosomal RNA (301 nucleotides) under uncultured bacterium. RNAcentral's name for it is "partial 16S ribosomal RNA". It matches the Rfam family "Bacterial small subunit ribosomal RNA", at positions 509 to 809 of the family's 1533-position model. The record is from RNAcentral.
CAGCAGCCGCGGGAAUACGUAGGUGGCAAGCGUUGUCCGGAAUUUUUGGGCGUAAAGGGCUCGCAGGCGGUUUCUUAAGUCUGAUGUGAAAGCCCCCGGCUCAACCGGGGAGGGUCAUUGGAAACUGGGAAACUUGAGUGCAGAAGAGGAGAGUGGAAUUCCACGUGUAGCGGUGAAAUGCGUAGAGAUGUGGAGGAACACCAGUGGCGAAGGCGACUCUCUGGUCUGUAACUGACGCUGAGGAGCGAAAGCGUGGGGAGCGAACAGGAUUAGAUACCCGAGUAGUCCCUGUCUCUUAUAA